GUUUGAUCCUGGCUCAGGAUGAACGCUGGCGGCGUGCUUAACACAUGCAAGUCGAACGGACGCUUUGGGAAACUGGGGCGUUAGUGGCAAACGGGUGAGUAACACGUGGGUGACCUGCCUCAGAGUGGGAACAACAGACCGAAAGGUUUGCUAAUACCGCAUACGCUCGAUGAUUCACUUGAUCGAGUAAAGGUGCAAAUCGCUUUGAGAGGGGCCCGCGGCCCAUCAGGUAGUUGGUGAGGUAAAAGCCCACCAAGCCGAUGACGGGUAGCUGUUCUGAGAGGAAGAUCAGCCACAAUGGAACUGAGAUACGGUCCAUACUCCUACGGGAGGCAGCAGUGAGGAAUAUUGCGCAAUGGAGGAAACUCUGACGCAGCGACGCCGCGUGGGUGACGAAGGCCUUCGGGUCGUAGAACCCUUUUAGCAGGGACGAGUGAGGACGGUACCUGCUGAAUAAGUCUCGGCUAACUACGUGCCAGCAGCCGCGGUAAAACGUAGGAGGCGAGCGUUAUCCGGAUUCACUGGGCGUAAAGCGUGCGUAGGCGGUCGGGUAAGUCGGAUGUUAAAGCCCCUGGCUCAACUGGGGGAGGUCAUUCGAUACUGCUCGGCUUGAGGAUGACAGAGGAGAGCGGAAUUCCCGGUGUAGCGGUGGAAUGCGUAGAGAUCGGGAGGAACACCAGCGGCGAAAGCGGCUCUCUGGCUCAUAUCUGACGCUGAGUGCACGACAGCGUGGGGAGCAAACGGGAUUAGAUACCCCGGUAGUCCACGCUAUAAACGAUGAGGGCUGGGUGUUGGUUUCAUUUGGAAUCAGUGCCGAAGCAAACGCGUUAAGCCCUCCGCCUGGGGACUACGAACGCAAGUUUAAAACUCAAAGGAAUAGACGGGGGCCCGCACAAGCAGCGGAGCGUGUGGUUCAAUUCGAUCAACACGAAGAACCUUACCAGGGCUUGACAUGCAUGUGGUAGGAAAGGGAAACCGGACCGACCCGCAAGGGAGCGUGCACAGGUGCUGCAUGGCUGUCGUCAGCUCGUGCCGUGAGGUGUUGGGUUAAGUCCCGCAACGAGCGCAACCCUCGUCGCUAGUUACAUGUGUCUAGCGAGACUGCCGGAUUAUAUCCGGAGGAAGGCGAGGAUGACGUCAAGUCAGCAUGGCCUUUAUGUCCUGGGCUACACACACGCUACAAUGGGUGCAACAGAGCGUUGCCAAACCGCGAGGUGGAGCUAAUCGCACAAAUGCACCCUCAGUUCAGAUUGCAGGCUGCAACCCGCCUGCAUGAAGCCGGAGUUGCUAGUAAACGCGCGUCAGCUAUAGUGCGUUGAAUGCGUUCCCGGGCCUUGUACUCACCGCCCGUCACGUGAUGGGAGCCGGUAACACCUGAAGUCGGUC
RNAcentral lists this ribosomal RNA (1386 nucleotides) under metagenome. Its description in RNAcentral is "bacterial SSU rRNA". It matches the Rfam family "Bacterial small subunit ribosomal RNA". The record is from RNAcentral.